Molecule: ribosomal RNA, 380 nt
Filed under: uncultured bacterium
Lineage: Bacteria
Description: partial 16S ribosomal RNA
Rfam family: Bacterial small subunit ribosomal RNA
Source: RNAcentral
UGGGGAAUAUUGCACAAUGGGCGAAAGCCUGAUGCAGCAACGCCGCGUGAGUGAUGAAGGCCUUCGGGUUGUAAAGCUCUGUCUUUUGGGACGAUAAUGACGGUACCAAAGGAGGAAGCCACUGCUAACUACGUGCCAGCAGCCGCGGUAAUACGUAGGUGGCAAGCGUUGUCCGGAUUUACUGGGCGUAAAGGAUGCGUAGGCGGAUUUUUAAGUGAGAUGUGAAAUACCCGGGCUUAACUUGGGUGCUGCAUUCAAACUGGGAAUCUAGAGUGCGGGAGAGGAGAAUGGAAUUCCUAGUGUAGCGGUGAAAUGCGUAGAGAUUAGGAAGAACACCGAUGGCGAGGCAAUCCCUGGGCCUGCACUGACGCUCAUGCACG